RNAcentral lists this ribosomal RNA (403 nucleotides) under bacterium. RNAcentral describes it as "partial 16S ribosomal RNA". It matches the Rfam family "Bacterial small subunit ribosomal RNA", at positions 355 to 776 of the family's 1533-position model. The record is from RNAcentral.
UGGGGAAUAUUGCACAAUGGGGGAAACCCUGAUGCAGCGACGCCGCGUGAACGAAGAAGGUAUUCGUAUCGUAAAGUUCUGUCCUAUGGGAAGAUAAUGACAGUACCAUAGAAGAAAGCUCCGGCUAAAUACGUGCCAGCAGCCACGGUAAUACGUAUGGAGCGAGCGUUGUCCGGAAUUAUUGGGCGUAAAGGGUACGCAGGCGGUUUAAUAAGUCGAAUGUUAAAGAUCGGGGCUCAACCCCGCAAAGCAUUGGAAACUGAUAAACUCGAGUAGUGAAGAGGAAAGUGUAAUUCCUAGUGUAGUGGUGAAAUACGUAGAUAUUAGGAGGAAUACCAGUAGCGAAGGCGACUUUCUGGACACAAACUGACGCUGAGGUACGAAAGCGUGGGGAGCAAACAGG